Molecule: ribosomal RNA, 273 nt
Filed under: uncultured bacterium
Lineage: Bacteria
Description: partial 16S ribosomal RNA
Rfam family: Bacterial small subunit ribosomal RNA
Source: RNAcentral
GUCCUACGGGGGGCAGCAGUGGGGGACAUUGCACAAUGGGGGAAACCCUGAUGCAGCGACGCCGCGUGAGUGAAGAAGCAUUUCGGUGUGUAAAGCUCUAUCAGCAGGGAAGAAGAAAUGACGGUACCUGACUAAGAAGCCCCGGCUAACUACGUGCCAGCAGCCGCGGUAAUACGUAGGGGGCAAGCGUUAUCCGGAUUUACUGGGUGUAAAGGGAGCGUAGACGGCAGUGCAAGUCCGAUGUGAAAACCCAGGGCACAACCGUGAGAGUGC